Molecule: ribosomal RNA, 422 nt
Filed under: uncultured bacterium
Lineage: Bacteria
Description: partial 16S ribosomal RNA
Rfam family: Bacterial small subunit ribosomal RNA
Source: RNAcentral
GUAUUUUGGACAAUGGGGGCAACCCUGAGCCCGCCACCGCGCGUGUGCGAUGGAGGCCCUCGGGUUGUAAAGCACUUUUUGCAGGGAAGAAAAGGCGCUGACUAAUACCUCGAGCUGCGUACUGUACCUGCAGAAGCAGCAGCUGCGAACACUGUGCCAACAGCCGCGGUAAGACGUAGGGUGCAAGCGUUAAUCGGAAUUACUGGGCGUAAAGCGUGCGCCGGCGGUUCGGCAAGAAGGAUGUGAAAUCCCAGGGCUUAACCUGGGAACUGAAUUCUUAACUGCCGGGCUAGAGUAUGUCAGAGGGGGGUAGAAUUCCGCGUGUAGCAGUGAAAUGCGUAGAGAUGCGGAGGAAUACCGAUGGCGAAGGCAGCCCCCUGGGAUAAUACUGACGCUCAUGCACGAAAGCGUGGGGAGCAAAC